This 427-nucleotide ribosomal RNA is filed under the name uncultured bacterium. RNAcentral's name for it is "partial 16S ribosomal RNA". It matches the Rfam family "Bacterial small subunit ribosomal RNA", at positions 355 to 774 of the family's 1533-position model. The record is from RNAcentral.
UGGGGAAUAUUGCACAAUGGGCGCAAGCCUGAUGCAGCCAUGCCGCGUGUGUGAAGAAGGCCUUCGGGUUGUAAAGCACUUUCAGCGAGGAGGAAGGGUAGUGUGUUAAUAGCACAUUGCAUUGACGUUACUCGCAGAAGAAGCACCGGCUAACUCCGUGCCAGCAGCCGCGGUAAUACGGAGGGUGCAAGCGUUAAUCGGAAUUACUGGGCGUAAAGCGCACGCAGGCGGUUUGUUAAGUCAGAUGUGAAAUCCCCGCGCUUAACGUGGGAACUGCAUUUGAAACUGGCAAGCUAGAGUCUUGUAGAGGGGGGUAGAAUUCCAGGGGUAGCGGUGAAAUGCGUAGAGAUCUGGAGGAAUACCGGUGGCGAAGGCGGCCCCCUGGACAAAGACUGACGCUCAGGUGCGAAAGCGUGGGGAGCAAACA